This 493-nucleotide ribosomal RNA is filed under the name uncultured bacterium. RNAcentral describes it as "partial 16S ribosomal RNA". It matches the Rfam family "Bacterial small subunit ribosomal RNA", at positions 30 to 523 of the family's 1533-position model. The record is from RNAcentral.
AUUGAACGCUGGCGGCAUGCCUUACACAUGCAAGUCGAACGGUAACAGGUUAAGCUGACGAGUGGCGAACGGGUGAGUAAUAUAUCGGAACGUGCCCAGUCGUGGGGGAUAACGUAGCGAAAGCUACGCUAAUACCGCAUACGAUCUACGGAUGAAAGCGGGGGGUCGCAAGACCUCGCGCGAUUGGAGCGGCCGAUAUCAGAUUAGCUAGUUGGUGAGGUAAAGGCUCACCAAGGCGACGAUCUGUAGCUGGUCUGAGAGGACGACCAGCCACACUGGAACUGAGACACGGUCCAGACUCCUACGGGAGGCAGCAGUGGGGAAUUUUGGACAAUGGGCGCAAGCCUGAUCCAGCAAUGCCGCGUGCAGGACGAAGGCCUUCGGGUUGUAAACUGCUUUUGUACGGAGCGAAACGGUCUUCUCUAAUACAGGGGGCUAAUGGCGGUACCGUAAGAAUAAGCACCGGCUAACUACGUGCCAGCCGCCGCAGUAA